Molecule: small nuclear RNA, 134 nt
Filed under: Microcebus murinus (gray mouse lemur)
Lineage: Eukaryota; Metazoa; Chordata; Mammalia; Primates; Cheirogaleidae
Description: U4 spliceosomal RNA (ENSMICG00000043766.1)
Rfam family: U4 spliceosomal RNA
About the family: U4 small nuclear RNA (U4 snRNA) is a component of the major U2-dependent spliceosome. The structure of U4 snRNA from yeast and human has been reported. U4 snRNA presents a k-turn RNA motif in the 5p-SL related to recognition of Snu13 protein.
Source: Rfam by way of RNAcentral
AGCUUUAUGCAGUGGUAGUACCAUAGCCAAUGAGGGUUAGCUGUGGCAUGAUUAUUGCUAAUGGAAAACCAGUACCCCCUGUGACGACUUGCAAUAUAGCUGACAUUGGCAAUUUCUGACCAUCUCUACGGAGA